AGUCCCCCGUGUAGACAACGCUCUGGGAGCCCACCUUGAUCCAGAACAUGGCGGCGCCCAGGACAUGGCCUGCAUAGUAGGCUUUGAUCUCAAGGUCCGUGUCCACCAUCAUACUCUGGUGAAGUGUGACGGGAAUCACCUUCUUCAUGCAGUCCUUGAUCAUCUGGGUGGUAAAGAAGUUCGACUCGCCUUUCCGCUCUACGGCCACCUUCCGCAUGUCCUCCAGGAGGAUGGGUGCUAUGGCCUUGGUCGGAUGCGUCAUGUAGAUGGGCCCCGUGUAGCCCACAAUCUCUGACAUGUAGGGCAAGGCCCCGCAGUGAUCUGGAAUGCAUGCAAUCGAUAAAGAAACGAUUAGAGCCAGUUGACCAGAUAAGAGCGCCUUUGGGAGGCCGAGACUCACCCAGGUGGAAGUGCGAGAUGAUCACACAGUCAAUGUGGCUGGUGAUCGGACCCUCCGGCACUAUGUAGGAGAAGUCCGGGAAGCGGCGCUCGUCGUUGUAGCCCAUAUGCAUCCCGCAGUCGAGCAUUAUGUUCUUCCCGCCCAUCGAGAGCAGCAGACAGCUGCGGCCCACAUCCUGGCCGGCGCCCAAGGGCGUUAUCUUGAUGUCCGGCAUUUCUGGAAGGGAUCAGGAUCACCCGGCUCCACUCUCCUGCUUUCUUGCGGCCACUUGUUGCGCUGGUAAAUGAAAUUGUCGAAAAAGUCGACCGUGAUUUUUGUAAACAGCAAGGCCGCACGAAUGGCGUUGCCACUCCGUCGGUGUGGAUGGUCCGGCAACGACGCGCUCCAACUGGCAGAUCUUAUUGGAGUGUUCCAAGAAGUUUCAAAGAAUUUAAUAGCUUAAUUGAAAUUAAUGUUUCUGUCUGUAUAUGUAUAG
This is a non-coding RNA of Drosophila melanogaster (fruit fly), 875 nucleotides long. The record is from Ensembl. Lineage: Eukaryota; Metazoa; Arthropoda; Insecta; Diptera; Drosophilidae.